GACGAACGCUGGCGGCGUGCUUAACACAUGCAAGUCGAACGGAAAGGCCCUGCUUUUGUGGGGUGCUCGAGUGGCGAACGGGUGAGUAACACGUGAGUAACCUGCCCUUGACUUUGGGAUAACUUCAGGAAACUGGGGCUAAUACCGGAUAGGAGCUCCUGCUGCAUGGUGGGGGUUGGAAAGUUUCGGCGGUUGGGGAUGGACUCGCGGCUUAUCAGCUUGUUGGUGGGGUAGUGGCUCACCAAGGCUUUGACGGGUAGCCGGCCUGCGCGGGUGACCGGCCUCAUGGGGACUGAGAUACGGCCCAGACUCCGACGGGAGGCAGCAGUGGGGAAGAGUGCACAAUGGGCGGAAGCCUGAUGCAGCAACGCCGCGGGCGGGAUGACGGCCUUCGGGUUGUAAACCUCUUUCGCCUGUGACGAAGCGUGAGUGACGGUAAUGGGUAAAGAAGCACCGGCUAACUACGUG
This 468-nucleotide ribosomal RNA is filed under the name uncultured bacterium. RNAcentral describes it as "partial 16S ribosomal RNA". It matches the Rfam family "Bacterial small subunit ribosomal RNA", at positions 28 to 507 of the family's 1533-position model. The record is from RNAcentral.